Non-coding RNA from Pelobates cultripes (western spadefoot toad), 208 nucleotides. The record is from the annotation of a GenBank genome assembly. NCBI's taxonomy places the organism in Eukaryota, Metazoa, Chordata, Amphibia, Anura, Pelobatidae.
CUUCAGUAGGUAGUAUAUAGAUAUAUUAUAUACAAUGUGUGUGUGUGAUUUACUUUUGAUUUUUACAUCUGGUUCCAUGUUUGACCCUCCAUACAUACAGAAAUAAAGACUUCAAUUCUGUUAACAAUCUGUUUUUUUCUUAUUCUAUGAACAAGUUUGACCCCUAGACAUAGUCUGUGGUGUGUCCUUACCUGAUAAACCUCUAUUU